CGUUCCAGCAGUCUGGAAGCUUCCAGUUGUCCGGGAAGCGGCAGCUGAAGCAGGAUGCCGUCGAUGUUCGGGUCAUCGUUGAGGCGA
RNAcentral lists this transfer RNA (87 nucleotides) under Pseudomonas fluorescens. RNAcentral's name for it is "tRNA-Thr". Lineage: Bacteria; Pseudomonadati; Pseudomonadota; Gammaproteobacteria; Pseudomonadales; Pseudomonadaceae. The record is from RNAcentral.